This 497-nucleotide ribosomal RNA is filed under the name uncultured bacterium. Its description in RNAcentral is "partial 16S ribosomal RNA". It matches the Rfam family "Bacterial small subunit ribosomal RNA", at positions 28 to 507 of the family's 1533-position model. The record is from RNAcentral.
GAUGAACGCUGGCGGCGUGCCUAAUACAUGCAAGUCGAGCGAACGGACGAGAAGCUUGCUUCUCUGAUGUUAGCGGCGGACGGGUGAGUAACACGUGGAUAACCUACCUAUAAGACUGGGAUAACUUCGGGAAACCGGAGCUAAUACCGGAUAAUAUUUUGAACCGCAUGGUUCAAAAGUGAAAGACGGUCUUGCUGUCACUUAUAGAUGGAUCCGCGCUGCAUUAGCUAGUUGGUAAGGUAACGGCUUACCAAGGCAACGAUGCAUAGCCGACCUGAGAGGGUGAGCGGCCACACUGGAACUGAGACACGGUCCAAGCUCCUACGGGAGGCAGCAGUAGGGAAUCUUCCGCAAUGGGCGAAUGCCUGACGGAGCAACGCCGCGUGGGUGAUGAAGAUCUUCGGAUCGUAAGACUCUGUGAUUAGGGAAGAACAUAUGUGUAAGUAACUGUGCACAUCUUGACGUUACCUAAUCAGAGAGCCACGGCUAACUACGUG